CCUGCGGGUGUGACAGAGCGGGGGUCUCGAGGGCGCAGACCGGUUUGUCCGCGAUGUGAGCUGGGGGGCCGGCCCAUAGCAGACCUGAGCCUCAGGUCCAUAAAAAGGGGGUGGUCGCCCUAAGAGAUGGUGGCUCUGCCGCAGCUAGGGGGCGAGAACCUGGCGGCGCCUCAGUUUCCCCAGAUGCACUCUGGGAGAGACUGAACCGAUUGCUCCCUGAAGGUCAACAGCUGGAGCUCUUUACUGAGUGCUGACUGCCCAGGCCAGGGCUGUGGCAGGGCGUCCUUUCGGCGGUGAGGCAGGCUGUGUGCCUCGCAGGCACAUGGUGACAUUCAGACAGCAGGCCACGUGAUGGACAGCAGUCGGGGGAAGGAGGGGGGCCCUGGAGUAGCGCAGAGCCAGGCCUGGGCACAGGAGGGCCAGUCACCUGGGGGCUGCCCCCACCCUCACAGCCUUUAUGGGUGGGCCGAUGGGAUCCCAGCUCUGCUCCCUGCCACUGUGGGGUCUUGAGCAAGAACUCUGAGCCUCUCCCAGGACUGGAGAGUGCCAAGAAGGGCCCCUUGGGGGCUGUCCCCCAGGACUCUGCCCCACCCCACCCAGAGACCCACAACUCCUCCCUGUCUGACUGGACUCCUUCUUGCUGCGGCUGGGUCCACUGUGGCUCCGAAGAGGUAGGAGCCCUGCCUCGUAGGGUGCUGGUAAGGAACGAGGGAAUGAUUCUGGGGAAAGCUGGAGUGAGAGUACCUGGCACGUGGUAAGGGGUACACCAACUUUUGCCCUCACUGUCACCUGCUGUCACAGAUGCCAAAGGACCAGGACAGCAUCCCUCACAUGGGAAAGCCUCAGGCAGUGGCAUCUUAAACACGAAAACAGAUCCAUGGUCCAGGGUAACACCUCAGCCGCAGAUGCCACCAUGAGGGGCUCUCCUCCUCAGUAAAAGCAGCAGUGUGUGGGAGAGAGUGUGUGUCACCACCCGGGAGUGUGAGUCCACAGUGCACAUCUGCGUGUGUUUGCACAGGAAACAUCAUGAAGACGAUGGGAAUGGGGACAGAUAGUAUCCUCUGCUUUGGGGAUGUGGGUUCCACACUUCCCCCUUCUUUCUGGCCCUUCUGUGGUUCUAAGGAUGAGGUGGUGUGGGGAGAGGGAGGUGGGGGUCCCAGUCCAGACCAUGUAGGACCCUGGGCAAGUGGGCUGUUCCUGUGGUGGCCCCCCUGCUGUCCCCACCCUUGGAGAGGCGGAGCCCCUGUCAGCCCUCCGUCCAGGACAGGGAGGACUCUGCCCCCGAUGUGCUGUGUGUCGGGAGGGAACUCCUGCACCUCUCUGGGCCUGACUCUGUGGAGUGAGGGAGGGGGAGGGCUGGCCCCCCAGGCCCUCUGUGACCUUGAGGAGGGCUCAGGAUGUCAGCGGAGGCCCCUGGUUAUGGGGCAUGUGGGUCCAGCCAGCUCCCUCCUCUCAGGGCCUGCCCUCUCU
This 1470-nucleotide long non-coding RNA is filed under the name Equus caballus (horse). RNAcentral describes it as "lncRNA (ENSECAG00000045075.1)". The record is from RNAcentral. Lineage: Eukaryota; Metazoa; Chordata; Mammalia; Perissodactyla; Equidae.